CAGCAGCCGCGGUAAUACGUAGGGUGCGAGCGUUAAUCGGAAUUACUGGGCGUAAAGCGAGCGCAGACGGUUACUUAAGCAGGAUGUGAAAUCCCCGGGCUCAACCUGGGAACUGCGUUCUGAACUGGGUGACUAGAGUGUGUCAGAGGGAGGUAGAAUUCCACGUGUAGCAGUGAAAUGCGUAGAGAUGUGGAGGAAUACCGAUGGCGAAGGCAGCCUCCUGGGAUAACACUGACGUUCAUGCUCGAAAGCGUGGGUAGCAAACAGGAUUAGAUACCCUGGUAGUCCACGCCCUAAACGAUGUCAAUUAGCUGUUGGGCAACUUGAUUGCUUAGUAGCGUAGCUAACGCGUGAAAUUGACCGCCUGGGGAGUACGGUCGCAAGAUUAAAACUCAAAGGAAUUGACGGGGACCCGCACAAGCGGUGGAUGAUGUGGAUUAAUUCGAUGCAACGCGAAGAACCUUACCUGGUCUUGACAUGUACGGAAUCCUCCAGAGACGGAGGAGUGCCUUCGGGAGCCGUAACACAGGUGCUGCAUGGCUGUCGUCAGCUCGUGUCGUGAGAUGUUGGGUUAAGUCCCGCAACGAGCGCAACCCUUGUCAUUAGUUGCCAUCAUUAAGUUGGGCACUCUAAUGAGACUGCCGGUGACAAGCCGGAGGAAGGUGGGGAUGACGUCAAGUCCUCAUGGCCCUUAUGACCAGGGCUUCACACGUCAUACAAUGGUCGGUACAGAGGGUAGCCAAGCCGCGAGGUGGAGCCAAUCUCACAAAACCGAUCGUAGUCCGGAUUGCACUCUGCAACUCGAGUGCAUGAAGUCGGAAUCGCUAGUAAUCGCAGGUCAGCAUACUGCGGUGAAUACGUUCCCGGGUCUUGUACACACCGCCCGUCACACCAUGGGAGUGGGGGAUACCAGAAGUAGGUAGGGUAACCGCAAGGAGCCCGCUUACCACGGUAUGCUUCAUGACUGGGGUGAAGUCGUAACAAGGUAGCCGU
This 993-nucleotide ribosomal RNA is filed under the name uncultured Neisseria sp. Its description in RNAcentral is "bacterial SSU rRNA". It matches the Rfam family "Bacterial small subunit ribosomal RNA", at positions 509 to 1503 of the family's 1533-position model. Lineage: Bacteria; Pseudomonadati; Pseudomonadota; Betaproteobacteria; Neisseriales; Neisseriaceae. The record is from RNAcentral.